CAGGGCAAAACCUCCAUUGGCAUGCAGCCACACUAAGAUUCUCUAUCCUUGUUGUGCAUUCCUAUAGUGUGCUCCAUGCCAAAGGAGAUUUGCCCGG
This 97-nucleotide microRNA precursor is filed under the name Manihot esculenta (cassava). RNAcentral's name for it is "miR399g stem-loop (mes-MIR399g)". Its record names the gene mes-MIR399g. Lineage: Eukaryota; Viridiplantae; Streptophyta; Magnoliopsida; Malpighiales; Euphorbiaceae. The record is from miRBase by way of RNAcentral.